UGAGCCUAUAUGUCUAUCUAACUAUCCUUUUGCGUCUUUGUUUCAGGUGCCUUAUGCAGGCCUGCUUCGACACAUGCUGAAGCUGCCAGCUUCACUGAGUUGCAACCUCUUGAUUCAUCGUACAGGCCGGUAUCCACAUAUCUGACUGGAGCUACAAGGUCACACACAGAUCCACAAGUGCUCGCCUUCAUGGAAAGGGUCUUACAGGUACUUAAUGGUAUUAAGCAGACCCAGCAGGCCCAUUCACAAUGCCUUAAUGAGCUGCUCAGCAAUGCCAACAGUGCAUCUUCACAACCUUGUGACCUCCCUGAUUUGCCUUUUUUGGAUGCGACAGACGUGCUUGACUAUGACAAAAAGCUUGAGACGGACAGACAAGCUCAAC
RNAcentral lists this long non-coding RNA (382 nucleotides) under Dermacentor andersoni. RNAcentral describes it as "uncharacterized LOC126517502". The record is from RNAcentral. Lineage: Eukaryota; Metazoa; Arthropoda; Arachnida; Ixodida; Ixodidae.